UUUUCAAUUUAUAGAGUAUUAUACCUCAUUUGUAAGUUAGUUCUACAUGUGGAUUUUCUUUUUGUAUUUUUUUAAUUUCGCCAUUUUUUGAGUAUUUGUCAUCCUUUUUGAGUUUGUGUCACUUUUUUUUAUUUUUUUUUAUUUUGUCACUUUUCGAGCGUUUGUUAUUUUUUUAUUUUCUAUCACUUUUUUUUUUUAUUUGAGUCACUUUUUAAAAUUUGUAACCUUUUUUAAAUUCCGUCACUUUUUUGAAUUUUUGUCAAUUUUUUAGUAAUUGUCUCUUUUUUUUAUUUUUUUUUUUUUUUUUUUUUUUUUUUAUUUUUUUUUUAUUUUUUUUUUUUUUUUUUUUUGAAUUUUUAUCACUUUUUUUUAGUGUUUGUCACUUUUUUUCAAUUGUCUUUUUGAAAUUUCUACCACUUUUUUAGUGACAAACAUCAAUUUUAAAUAAAAGUGGCAUUAUAUGUAGAUACUAAACUCUUAAAAGUGACGUUGUUUACUUUUUAAUUUUACAUAGUAUUUUUUACUUCCAAAAACUUUUCAUAUAAUUUUUCAGAAUACAUAUAAUUUUAAGGGUAUUUUUGUAAG
This 585-nucleotide long non-coding RNA is filed under the name Olea europaea subsp. europaea. Lineage: Eukaryota; Viridiplantae; Streptophyta; Magnoliopsida; Lamiales; Oleaceae. The record is from RNAcentral.